Molecule: non-coding RNA, 120 nt
Filed under: Vitrella brassicaformis
Lineage: Eukaryota; Vitrellaceae
Source: RNAcentral
UCGUGGGCGAGCUGUCCAACGUCAAGCUCUUCUCUCGCCAGCUGACGCACCGGGACCUGUCGACGGUCUACUUCUGUCUCAACGUGUUCGGCGAUCUGGCCGAUACACAGUGGUCAACGG